AUCUUGUCCUAAUACCAACAAUUAUUUAAUUAAAUAUUUAAAUUACUCAAAUUAUUUACCCAUACGAGAAAAAUUUACAUCCAGGUUAUUAAUUAAUAAUCAAGUAAUGAAAUUUUUGUGUUAAUUGGAUAAUUAUAAACAUAUUUCAACAUUAUGUUUCUAUUAUAUGACUUGCCACUCAGAGAAAACUUACAAUAAAUCACUUAAAUGUCAGUACUGUGUCAUGUCCGUUCCUAGAAUUCACCUAUAAAUUGUUAAUUUUUUUUGUCAUAAUAAAUGAUUUAAACUAAUUACUUCAUAAAUUCUAAUGUUUAUGAUCAAACUGAAAAAAAAUUGACACACUUUCUGUUUAAUGUAUUAAGUUAACAUUGAAUUCCGGUUCAAUAACUUUUGUCUUUAAAUUUUAACGAAUUUUUGAAUUUGAAUUUGUGUGACUCGAACGCCAUGUUCCUUGAGAUUUAUGAAACGUCUAGUGAACUAUCUUGAAAGUACGUCACCUGAGUAAUAUUUACAAACACUGAGUUGAUGACAAAAGGCCAAGAGUUCGUGCCAUGUUUAAACUUAAUUUUUAAAAAGAAUACUAAAUUCUUGUACUUAAUACCAGUCUGAACUUUACAGUCAAUGGAUAUUAUCAAAUACAUAACCAAAUAAUUACAGUUGUUAUUUAAAAUGAAACUGUGGUACCAAUACUUUGUGCUAAAAAGCUACCUGAUACAAGUGACAAUUAAUUUAUUCAAUGUUUAUUAAUUUAUUUAUUUUUUAGUAAAUUCUAUAAAUUAAAUUAUAGUUGUUAUAAAUUAUAAAGUUAAUCGUUAUUAAUCAUCAUUAAUGUGUUAGAUAAUUAUUGAAAAAAGAGU
Long non-coding RNA from Microplitis demolitor, 857 nucleotides. RefSeq lists it as uncharacterized. Lineage: Eukaryota; Metazoa; Arthropoda; Insecta; Hymenoptera; Braconidae. The record is from RefSeq and is a predicted model, not a curated record. The transcript is spliced from 4 exons.